This is a non-coding RNA of Eptesicus fuscus (big brown bat), 79 nucleotides long. The record is from RefSeq and is marked provisional. Lineage: Eukaryota; Metazoa; Chordata; Mammalia; Chiroptera; Vespertilionidae.
CAAGAGAAAAUCCGUUGUUUUAGCCGCUGCGCAGAAGAGCUGUGGAGAUGGCGGCAGGCAGCCGGAUACCAGAGUCUAU